RNAcentral lists this ribosomal RNA (489 nucleotides) under uncultured bacterium. RNAcentral's name for it is "bacterial SSU rRNA". It matches the Rfam family "Bacterial small subunit ribosomal RNA", at positions 28 to 526 of the family's 1533-position model. The record is from RNAcentral.
GACGAACGCUGGCGGCGUGCUUAACACAUGCAAGUCGAACGAUGAAGCGGCCAGCUUGCUGGUGGUGGAUUAGUGGCGAACGGGUGAGUAACACGUGGGCAACCUGCCCUCAGCUCUGGGAUAACUCCGGGAAACCGGUGCUAAUACUGGAUAUCGACUUCUGCUCGCAUGGGUGGUUGUUGAAAGUUUUUCGGCUGGGGAUGGGCCCGCGGCCUAUCAGCUUGUUGGUGGGGUGAUGGCCUACCAAGGCGACGACGGGUAGCCGGCCUGAGAGGGCGACCGGCCACACUGGGACUGAGACACGGCCCAGACUCCUACGGGAGGCAGCAGUGGGGAAUAUUGCGCAAUGGGCGGAAGCCUGACGCAGCGACGCCGCGUGAGGGAUGACGGCCUUCGGGUUGUAAACCUCUUUCAGCUCUGACGAAGCGAGAGUGACGGUAGGAGCAGAAGAAGCACCGGCCAACUACGUGCCAGCAGCCGCGGUAAUAC